Molecule: ribosomal RNA, 229 nt
Filed under: uncultured bacterium
Lineage: Bacteria
Description: partial 16S ribosomal RNA
Rfam family: Bacterial small subunit ribosomal RNA
Source: RNAcentral
UGCGUAGGCGGGCUAAUAAGUCAGUGGUGAAAUCUCUCGGCUCAACCGGGAAACUGCCAUUGAUACUGUUAGUCUUGAGUUCGGUUGAGGUAGGCGGAAUGUGUAAUGUAGCAGUGAAAUGCUUAGAUAUUACACAGAACACCAAUUGCGUAGGCAGCUUACUAGACCGACACUGACGCUGAGGCACGAAAGCGUGGGGAGCGAACAGGAUUAGAUACCCUGGUAGUCC